CAGUAGCCACGGUAAUACGAAGGGGGCUAGCGUUGUUCGGAUUUACUGGGCGUAAAGGGCGCGUAGGCGGGCGAAUAAGUCAGGGGUGAAAUCCCAAGGCUCAACCUUGGAACUGCCUUUGAUACUGUUUGUCUUGAGUCCGGGAGGUGUGAGUGGAACUGCGAGUGUAGAGGUGAAAUUCGUAGAUAUUCGCAAGAACACCAGUGGCGAAGGCGGCUCACUGGCCCGGAACUGACGCUGAGGCGCGAAAGCGUGGGGAGCAAACAGGAUUAGAUACCCCUGUAGUCCCUGUCUCUUAUAC
Molecule: ribosomal RNA, 301 nt
Filed under: uncultured bacterium
Lineage: Bacteria
Description: partial 16S ribosomal RNA
Rfam family: Bacterial small subunit ribosomal RNA
Source: RNAcentral